Molecule: ribosomal RNA, 478 nt
Filed under: uncultured bacterium
Lineage: Bacteria
Description: partial 16S ribosomal RNA
Rfam family: Bacterial small subunit ribosomal RNA
Source: RNAcentral
GACGAACGCUGGCGGCGUGCUUAACACAUGCAAGUCGAACGGUAAGGCCCUUCGGGGUACACGAGUGGCGAACGGGUGAGUAACACGUGGGUGAUCUGCCCUGCACUUCGGGAUAAGCCUGGAAAACUGGGUCUAAUACCGGUUAGGACCCUGGGAUGCAUGUCCUGGGGUGGAAAGCUUUUGCGGUGUGGGAUGGGCCCGCGGCCUAUCAGCUUGUUGGUGGGGUGAUGGCCUACCAAGGCGACGACGGGUAGCCGGCCUGAGAGGGUGACCGGCCACACUGGGACUGAGAUACGGCCCAGACUCCUACGGGAGGCAGCAGUGGGGAAUAUUGCAUAAUGGGCGCAAGCCUGAUGCAGCGACGCCGCGUGAGGGAUGACGGCCUUCGGGUUGUAAACCUCUUUCAGCACCGACGAAGCGCAAGUGACGGUAGGUGCAGAAGAAGGACCGGCCAACUACGUGCCAGCCGCCGCGGUAA